UUUUCGUAACCGGGUUAAAAAUGAAAGGGAAAAAUCAAUUUCCAGAAGGGGGAAUCUGUUCGUUUCUCUUUCUUUUUUCUUGUUCUCUCCGUCUGCAAUUUGUUCUUUUCAAAUUCAAGAAACAGAUAGCUAGGGAGAAUUCCUCUCUUUAAUUUCCUUCUGGCAUAUCUGCUUCUCAGAAAAGAGCCUUCUGCUCUUUCUAGAAAAUCUAGAAGAUAUGAAAAAUCACGAAAAGGGUACAUCCAGAUUUCUUCCGUGGAUGGUUUUAUGAAUGGGGUAGAGGAUUUCUUCCAUCAUGUUCUUCAAUUUAAGAAUUUUGUUUAGAGGCUUUGAUCAACUCUUCCUGCAUGCAUAAAUUGAGGUGAAGAAGCUGCGACAGGAGGUCAAUAUGACCACGGAAAUCAAAUCUCCCUACACCAGCAUAACUGCACACCUGAUGUUCGAUAAAUUGCCCGAAAGAACAGAAAAGAGGUCAAAUGUUCUUGUAGCUUUCUCUACAUAUUCGUUUCAUUAAUUUUGAAACUUUAUGAUUGCCAUGUGAUAUGGGUUUCCUUUCUAGCAUCUGUCUUGGUUACAAGUGACUGUUGGCACUCAUAAAUAUGUAUUUAGAGAAUUUGUAUUAAUUGUUUAGGAUCCGCUGUACAAAAUGUAAAACUGAAAUUAAGAAGCUUUAGACUAGUGGCCUGAUGCUAAUUAAGAAGCUUUGGACUGUUGGUAAGGAUGAUUAGCACCGGUUCAAUUCAUCUUUGAGUUUAUUGAUUUUGUUUUCUAAGGUACCAGAUUCACAACUGGUUGUUAUAUAUAUAGUUCAUUUCCUUAGAAAUGAUAUGCCAUAUGAAAUGAUUAUUGCUUAUAUCAAAUAAUGACCUCCAACUGGGAAUUGGACUAGAAUUUGAUUUUAAGGUUAGUUAACUAUUUUAUCGUUUCAUAAUGUAUGUGAAGUGAGAAUGAAUAGUACUAUGCACAAAAGUUGGAUUUUUCGGUGUGAACAUGCUAAUGUUAUAUUAGAGUUGGCAGUUAAGUGGUAGGGGCUAGGAAUAUCCUAUCUCAUGAAUGCCUCAUCUGAUUUCUUUGUAAACAACGGAUUAAUAUGAACAUUUUAAAGACAUAGGCAUUUUCUGGUGCUCUAUUCCUUCUUGUUCUGCCUGUUUGCUGUGGUUACGGACUAUAUGACACAAUUAUAGAUGAAACAUUUUAGUUAUUAUUUGGUUAACUAACAAGUGCUUGUUGAAAUGUCCGUGUGAUCACUAGACUGUCGGACUAGCGAAGUGGAAGUGUCUGCCCAUUCUAAGGUACGGACUAGCUCUGGUUUAGUAAGUACUAAAUGACGAUUUAUAACGGUGUCAUUUGUUGUUUGAGGAAAAGAAAGGUUCUCUGUACAUUGGGAUAGAUGGAUGAGGGUAUAGAAUUUUAAAAUGAUAAGAUUAGAUGCCUUCUUUGUGGUAUUUCAAUUACUUAUAAAAUGUAAGAUUUAUCUUUGGUUAAUUUUUAUACACCCCUGUAUCAUGUAGCUAGGUUGUGGAGCUAAACUUCAUGAGAUGAAGUGUUAACUUAUUGUAGACUUUGUACGCAGAAGUGACCUUUCAUUUAGUGGAUGAACUUAACCUGUAUGCAUAGGACCUUAAAUGGGCACAUAGCCAUUUCUAUUAACUGAUGAGUACAGUAAAAUCUAAAGAGAAAAAUUCUCUUAUAUGAAAAGCUUGAGGUGGCUGCUACUGUUUAAGGUGCUAAACAGUAGUUGAAUUUGAAUUAUGAAUUAAGAUCCUUCAAGCCUAUCAUGGGUAGGUUUCGACAGCAAGCAUUUUGGUUGUACUAAUUUAUCUUCCCUGUUGAUCCUUUAAUUGUACUGAACUUUCAAUUGUGCUAUUUAUAGUGCAACUGCCAUGUUGUUGGCACAAUGAAAAUAUAUAUCAUGACUGUUUAGAG
Molecule: long non-coding RNA, 1926 nt
Organism: Papaver somniferum (opium poppy)
Lineage: Eukaryota; Viridiplantae; Streptophyta; Magnoliopsida; Ranunculales; Papaveraceae
Exons: 2
Source: RefSeq, a predicted model, not a curated record